RNAcentral lists this long non-coding RNA (291 nucleotides) under Linum usitatissimum (flax). RNAcentral's name for it is "long non-coding RNA (LUSI_LNC001760)". Lineage: Eukaryota; Viridiplantae; Streptophyta; Magnoliopsida; Malpighiales; Linaceae. The record is from RNAcentral.
UGAACAUAGCCUUGUUGUGUUUGUGGACACCACCUGUAACUUUUUUGGGUUAACAUUACUACUGUGACAUUUUGAAUGCAGAAAAACACCAAUGAAUGUGUCUACUUACGUUGAAUGUGUACUUUCGAGUAGCACAAUCGACAAGUGCUGGCCAAAGGAGGACGAGUGCGAUUAAUAUCGACCGAUUCCUACUCCGAUUCUCCAUUCUGUUUUUACUUCUUGUUCUGCCUCUGCCCCUCUCAGAGUUUGUAUACUUCUUACUACUAGGACAAAAUGUGUGUGACAGAGCAC